UUUUUUUUUUUUUGUCUUUUUGCCAUUUCUUCGGCCGCUCCUGCGGCAUAUGGAGGUUCUAGGCUAGGGGUCUAAUCGGAGCUGUAGCCACCGGCCUACACCACAGCCACAGCAACGCGGGAUCCGAGCCGCGUCUGCAACCUACACCACAGCUCACGGCAAUGCUGGAUCCUUAAUCCACAGAGCAAGGGCAGGGAUUGAACCCCCAACCUCAUGGUGCCUAGUCGGAUUCAUCAACCGCUGAGCCACGACAGGAACUCCAUGGAGGUUCUUAAAAAACUAAAAAUAGAGUUGCUGUAUGAUCCAGCAAUCCCACUCCUGGCCAUACACCCAGACAAAACUAUAACUGAAAACAUACAGGGGGAGUUCCUGUUGUGGCGCAGUGGAAACGAAUCCGAAGAGGAACCAUGAGGUUGUAUGUUCAAUCCCUGGCCUCGCUCAGUGGGUUAAGGAUCUGACGGUGCUGUGAGCUGUGGUGUAGGUCACAGACACAGCUCAGAUCUGGCAUUGCUGGGGCUGCGGCUACAGCUCCGAUUAGACCCCUAGCCUGGGAACUUCCAUAUGCUGCGGGUGCGGCCCUAAAAAGGAAAAAAAGAGAGAGAUAGAGGCAGCAUUUGAACCCAGAUCAUUUGGGCCCGGGAUCUGGAUUUAACAAUUUCAGCACAAGCUAUGGAGACUUAAGGUGGGCAAGCCCGCUGUGGCCUCAAAGCAGAGACCCCUGGAGGAGAACCGAUCCUAUAUCCCAGGCCUGGGGAGGAGCAGGCUGAGUCCCAGGCAGCCAGCCUGGGGGUCAUAGCUGACCACAGGCCAAAGGCUUCCUGGAUUGCCUAGCAGAGGAAUGAGCGACGUGAAAGGGAAAUUCCUCCAGGAAAAGACAACAUUUUUGAGGGUUUUUUGGCCUCAUCUCUGAUUUCAGACCCAUGGUUUCUUUGCUGAGUCAUGGGGGACAUGUUGAAAGGGGUGGGGCGGUGCUGGAGCGUCUCCUCUCAGGACUGGGUUCAGUGGGGGCCUCCGGCGCAGCCCCGCUCCCUGCCCCUGGAAGGCCACCACCCAGCACCUGUUCUAAAAAUAGUUCCCAGGAGGAAGUAGAUGCUACCGCUCUCCGUCCUCAUCUUCCCCUGAGCCUCUUCGGCGAAGAAAUAAGAAUGUAAAUGAAUGCCUGAAUGAAUAAGGGAGGCCAUCUGUGAUGGGACAAACCUUUACGGCCCCUCCUUCCAUCUCCCCCCAGGCUUUGGAAUCACACACCUUUUGGAUUCCAGCUCUGCCUCUCUCGACUCUGAGCAAGCCACGGAGCCUCAGUUUCUUCACGUGUAAAAUGGGGCUAUUUGUUUCAGUCUGCCAGCCUGAGGGCAGGCCCAAGGGAGGUAAGAGAGGGAAAGCUCUUGGCACCCAGUGGGCAUUCCAGAGAUGGUGACUCUUGGGUGCCAGGCCCUGAGAGAGGCUGGAAGUCAAAGAGGAAUGCACCUCGGCCCUCUAGUGCCCAGCCCCGUGGGAGGGGAAAUAGAGACAGAAUGAAUCAACACAAUGGAUGCGUGCUAGAAGAAGGCAAAGGACACAGCAAGGAGAAUGAACCAGCUGCCAGGCUGGGCUGCAGCGCAUCUGGAAGUUUCUGCUCAAGUCUCUGGUCCAGGGUUUCUUGGCAUGACCUUCACAGACUCAUGUUAGGGGUGGAUUCAGAGCUGCAGCUGCCGGCCUACAUCACAGCCAUGGCAACGCUGGAUCCUUAACUCACUGAGCGGGGCCAGGGAUCGAACCUGUGUCCUCAUGGAUACCAGUCAGGUUCAUUACCGCUGAGCCACAACAGGAAUUCCAGAUUCUGCAUUUCUAACAGGCUCUCCCAGUGACUGCUGGGCCACACACAGAUCACACUUUGGGUCCAUAGCUGUCCUCACAUUCACAGGUUUCUCCAUUACUCUUUGUAUCCAUCUUAGGACACCUGCUCAAGAGACUUGCAGAACCUGAGCCCCUCGCCAGAUCCCAGAAUCAAAGUCUCAGAUAAACACUGGUGACUCUGUCACCCAC
This 2022-nucleotide long non-coding RNA is filed under the name Sus scrofa (pig). Its description in RNAcentral is "lncRNA (ENSSSCG00045009668.1)". Lineage: Eukaryota; Metazoa; Chordata; Mammalia; Artiodactyla; Suidae. The record is from RNAcentral.